This 467-nucleotide ribosomal RNA is filed under the name uncultured bacterium. RNAcentral's name for it is "partial 16S ribosomal RNA". It matches the Rfam family "Bacterial small subunit ribosomal RNA", at positions 28 to 507 of the family's 1533-position model. The record is from RNAcentral.
GACGAACGCUGGCGGCGUGCUUAACACAUGCAAGUCGAACGAUGACGACCGAGCUUGCUCGGUCUGAUUAGUGGCGAACGGGUGAGUAACACGUGAGCAACCUGCCCUUCACUCUGGGAUAACCUCGGGAAAUCGGGGCUAAUACCGGAUAUGAGCUCCUGUCGCAUGGCGGGUGUUGGAAAGUUUUUCGGUGAAGGAUGGGCUCGCGGCCUAUCAGUUUGUUGGUGAGGUAGUGGCUCACCAAGGCGAUGACGGGUAGCCGGCCUGAGAGGGCGACCGGCCACACUGGGACUGAGACACGGCCCAGACUCCUACGGGAGGCAGCAGUGGUGAAUAUUGCACAAUGGGCGAAAGCCUGAUGCAGCGACGCCGCGUGAGGGAUGACGGCCUUCGGGUUGUAAACCUCUUUCAGCAGGGAAGAAGCGAAAGUGACGGUACCUGCAGAAGAAGCGCCGGCUAACUACGUG